AGAGUUUGAUCCUGGCUCAGGAUGAACGCUAGCGGCAGGCUUAAUACAUGCAAGUCGUGGGGCAGCGCAGGUAGCAAUACUGGGCGGCGACCGGCAAACGGGUGCGGAACACGUACACAACCUUCCUUCAAGUGGGGAAUAGCCCAGAGAAAUUUGGAUUAAUACCCCGUAACAUAACGAUGUGGCAUCACAUUGUUAUUAUAGCUUCGGCGCUUGUUGAUGGGUGUGCGGCUGAUUAGAUAGUUGGCGGGGUAACGGCCCACCAAGUCUACGAUCAGUAGCUGAUGUGAGAGCAUGAUCAGCCACACGGGCACUGAGACACGGGCCCGACUCCUACGGGAGGCAGCAGUAAGGAAUAUUGGUCAAUGGACGAAAGUCUGAACCAGCCAUGCCGCGUGAAGGAUUAAGGUCCUCUGGAUUGUAAACUUCUUUUAUCUGGGACGAAAAAAGGCGAUUCUUCGUCACUUGACGGUACCAGAUGAAUAAGCACCGGCUAACUCCGUGCCAGCAGCCGCGGUAAUACGGAGGGUGCAAGCGUUAUCCGGAUUCACUGNGUUUAAAGGGUGCGUAGGCGGGCAGGUAAGUCAGUGGUGAAAUCCU
Molecule: ribosomal RNA, 600 nt
Filed under: uncultured freshwater bacterium
Lineage: Bacteria
Description: bacterial SSU rRNA
Rfam family: Bacterial small subunit ribosomal RNA
Source: RNAcentral